This 497-nucleotide ribosomal RNA is filed under the name uncultured bacterium. RNAcentral's name for it is "partial 16S ribosomal RNA". It matches the Rfam family "Bacterial small subunit ribosomal RNA", at positions 28 to 507 of the family's 1533-position model. The record is from RNAcentral.
GAUGAACGCUGGCGGCGUGCCUAAUACAUGCAAGUCGAGCGAACAGACGAGGAGCUUGCUCCUCUGACGUUAGCGGCGGACGGGUGAGUAACACGUGGAUAACCUACCUAUAAGACUGGGAUAACUUCGGGAAACCGGAGCUAAUACCGGAUAAUAUAUUGAACCGCAUGGUUCUAUAGUGAAAGACGGUUUUGCUGUCACUUAUAGAUGGAUCCGCGCCGCAUUAGCUAGUUGGUAAGGUAACGGCUUACCAAGGCAACGAUGCGUAGCCGACCUGAGAGGGUGAUCAGCCACACUGGAACUGAGACACGGUCCAGACUCCUACAGGAGGCAGCAGUAGGGAAUAUUCCGCAAUGGGCGAAAGCCUGACAGAGCAACGCCGCGUGAGUGAAGAAGGUCUUCGGAUCGUAAAACACUGUUAUUAGGGAGGAACAAAUGUGUAAGUAACUAUGCACGUCUUGACGGUACCUAAUCAGAAAGCCACGGCUAACUACGUG